This is a long non-coding RNA of Octopus sinensis (East Asian common octopus), 94 nucleotides long. RefSeq lists it as uncharacterized. The record is from RefSeq and is a predicted model, not a curated record. The transcript is spliced from 3 exons. Lineage: Eukaryota; Metazoa; Mollusca; Cephalopoda; Octopoda; Octopodidae.
CGCGAUUCGCUGCGUCGUGCUUGCUGAGGACGAGAUGCGUUAGCCCGUCUCCGUCGUUUAGCCGUGUCUGCGCUUUCCUCGUCGAGGCGUGACG